RNAcentral lists this non-coding RNA (77 nucleotides) under Calypte anna (Anna's hummingbird). The record is from RNAcentral. Lineage: Eukaryota; Metazoa; Chordata; Aves; Apodiformes; Trochilidae.
AUUGGCCAUUAUCUGCAGCUGAUGAGCUCCAAAAAGAGCAGGACCACUUGGAUCCUUUAGUACUGCCCUAUAAGUGU